CGGCGGCGACGGCGGCUGCCAAAGCUGGGCGUUCUGGAUAUCGUUUUGAACAAUACCGUCCGCGUGUGUGUGUGUGCAAGUUGAGUUUGCUAUCAACCACUCGAAUAGGUCGUUUCACGAAUAUUUCGUCGGAAAACGUUGUCGGUGAACAAACAGUGGAAAAAUGCCCAGAAAAAUCGGUUAACCCACAGGGGAAGACGGUCGAACGGCGGCGAACGGAUGACGGCGGCCAUUAGUCCACAGCGCGACGACGAUGGCCACCGCUUGCGACGCGCCACCUGCCGGUGACAAUAAACCACGGACGCGGUCGACCGCAGUGCUGCCAUUUGGUCGACGCCAAAUUAUGCGCACACCCGAUCGCUGUGUAACACCAAUCGGUACAAAUCAUAAUAUUGUCCCGUUUUCUUUUAAGUCAUUUUAUUGUGUAAAAAAACCUCAAAAAUACAUAAAAUAAUGGAUGGUCCGUAAAGUGAUAACAACAAGAUGGUGACAGCCUUAUACAGUACCAACUUCACGGAUCGAUAUUGACAACUUGCCGAAGCCACUGUACUUGUAUUGCACUGAACAAAAUAACAGUUAACACCACUAAGACAAAAACUACGAUUCAAAUCGAAUAUUUCAUCGAAAAUUUGAUACAAUGCGACAUGUGUGUUUGGUGAAAACUUAUCAUAAAAGUUACAUUUAUACAAUUAUUAUAAUACCUAAUUAAACAAUCAAUAUUUUAUCAAAGGAUCCAAAGGUGUCACAAGAAUAGAUGUCCAGUUUCUUUCAAAAACCAAAGUGAUAUAUAUCACUAAAUCAUAAUAAACUUUUACUCAUUCACAAAUCUAAAACAAAAAUCAGUGCAAACUAAUCACAAAAAAAAAAAUGGCUGGAUUAUAAAAAAACCAAUCACAGUCUGAACAGUCAAAGUCAGUAUGACCUUUGAAUUUAAGAAAAAUAUCCUGAAAAUAUUGACUGGUCGACACCCAGUUUUGAAUAAAUAGUUUUAAAUUUAUUAUUGUUUUGAAAAGCUACCCGUAAGUUGGUUAUGGUUAUAUUGUUGUUGGUUUGGUUAAGUUAUAAUUUAUAUCAGCUUGUAACUAAAACACAGAUUCGUCGAUUGAAAAUUACAAACCAAUCAUUAUAUUAUUAGAACAUAUAUGAACAAAUAAUAAUUUCACUUGUAUACCCAAAUUGUUUAUUCAAUAUGAGAGAUUGGUCAGAAUACAUAAGCAGUACGAACAAGUAGAUUAAAAUAAAAAAGACUUUCCCAGACAAGUUGUUGGACAAUAAAACAUUUUUACAAUAUGAUUAUUAUUAUUAUUAAUGAAU
Molecule: long non-coding RNA, 1314 nt
Organism: Adelges cooleyi (spruce gall adelgid)
Lineage: Eukaryota; Metazoa; Arthropoda; Insecta; Hemiptera; Adelgidae
Exons: 4
Source: RefSeq, a predicted model, not a curated record